This 660-nucleotide long non-coding RNA is filed under the name Lotus japonicus. Its description in RNAcentral is "long non-coding RNA (LJAP_LNC000931)". Lineage: Eukaryota; Viridiplantae; Streptophyta; Magnoliopsida; Fabales; Fabaceae. The record is from RNAcentral.
CUUUAUCAAACAUUCAGACAAAGACAACUUAUCAAAAAAUAAGAAAAAGAAAAGGUUUGUAUUACGUCGACUUUUCGUCAUAAGAAUAAAGGUAGUUUACUGCAUGCUUGAAAGAUCCUAUUAUAAUUGAUUUAAGAGUCUAGAUCAAUUUUCAAUUCUAAAUCAAAAUAUGUGUUUGCUUUCCUUUUUCUACUAUUAUAAUCUGCUUAUUUAAUAUAUGUCAAGGAUAUAAACAUGUUUAACUCCAUUUUUAUAUGUCAAGGAUAGAAGCAUCUUAACAAGUUUAAAAUUCCAUAGUAGGAAUUUGGCAGCUUGCUUCUUUUAUUGAGUUUCAUUUUAGUAAUCACUUCAUACUUGAAAGCAUGAAACUUUGUUAUCUCUAAUCACUUUCAAUUGAAACAUAAUUUUAACAUUGCAGAUCCAUGUAGUGAAGUUUCACCAUUGUCAGUAUUGAACACUAAUAUUCAAAUUCCUUCCCCAUGAGUAAAUAAUGUUUGUUAUUUUCCAGGUCUAAAAUCUUAACCCUACUUUUCUAUAAUCUUAAUUGCUUCAAGAAUCUUCAUACAUCUUUUUCAAUCCUUUUUAGGCCCUAUUGGACAAAGAAAUAAUGUUUUUGCGACCUAUAAGGCCCAAGUUGCGUCUUAUGCAAGAUUAAGAAGG